GGUGGCUCAGUGGUAGAGCGCUUGCCUCGCAUGCAUGAGACCCUGGGUUCGAUUCCCUCAGCACCA
RNAcentral lists this transfer RNA (66 nucleotides) under Dipodomys ordii (Ord's kangaroo rat). It matches the Rfam family "tRNA". From Rfam's summary of the family: Transfer RNA (tRNA) molecules are approximately 80 nucleotides in length. Their secondary structure includes four short double-helical elements and three loops (D, anti-codon, and T loops). The record is from Rfam by way of RNAcentral. Lineage: Eukaryota; Metazoa; Chordata; Mammalia; Rodentia; Heteromyidae.